Molecule: ribosomal RNA, 732 nt
Filed under: uncultured bacterium
Lineage: Bacteria
Description: bacterial SSU rRNA
Rfam family: Bacterial small subunit ribosomal RNA
Source: RNAcentral
GUCGAACGGGUGUACGGGAAGGAAGGCUUCGGCCGGAAAACCUGUGCAUGAGUGGCGGACGGGUGAGUAACGCGUGGGCAACCUGGCCUGUACAGGGGGAUAACACUUAGAAAUAGGUGCUAAUACCGCAUAACGGGGGAAGCCGCAUGGCUUUUCCCUGAAAACUCCGGUGGUACGGGAUGGACCCGCGUCUGAUUAGCUGGUUGGCGGGGUAACGGCCCACCAAGGCGACGAUCAGUAGCCGGCCUGAGAGGGCGGACGGCCACAUUGGGACUGAGACACGGCCCAAACUCCUACGGGAGGCAGCAGUGGGGAAUAUUGCACAAUGGGGGAAACCCUGAUGCAGCGACGCCGCGUGAGUGAAGAAGCGUUUCGGCGCGUAAAGCUCUGUCAGCGGGGAAGAAACACGGUUCGCGAGAGCCGCGGACGGUACCCGACCAAGAAGCCCCGGCUAACUACGUGCCAGCAGCCGCGGUAAUACGUAGGGGGCAAGCGUUAUCCGGAUUCACUGGGUGUAAAGGGAGCGUAGACGGCGAGACAAGUCUGGAGUGAAAGGCCGGGGCCCAACCCCGGGACUGCUCUGGAAACUGCCUGGCUGGAGUACAGGAGAGGUAAGUGGAAUUCCUAGUGUAGCGGUGAAAUGCGUAGAUAUUAGGAGGAACACCAGUGGCGAAGGCGGCUUACUGGACUGUAACUGACGUUGAGGCUCGAAAGCGUGGGGAGCAAACAGGA